Molecule: long non-coding RNA, 456 nt
Filed under: Arabidopsis lyrata
Lineage: Eukaryota; Viridiplantae; Streptophyta; Magnoliopsida; Brassicales; Brassicaceae
Description: long non-coding RNA (ALYR_LNC002488)
Source: RNAcentral
UUUACUAGACUAACAUGAUAUUUUUUUCUGUUUCACUUCCAUCUCCUAAGAACAAUAACACUUGUCUUUCUUUCUCAUUUUUAUUCCAAACACAUUCCCAAACCCAAAGUAAAACUCCCACCUAGUCCUAUCUAGCCCAAAAAGCGUGGACUAGAACUACAUGGGAUCCCAUUCUUGUCGGUUCAUACCUAACACUUUCUACCAAGCUCAAUCCGGAAAUAGGCCUCUCACACACACAAAUUUAUUCAGGGUUUGAAAGAAAGGUUAGGUUCAGGGUGGGGGAAACUGUUCCAAUGAUGGGAAUCAGCUACUUGGAUUAGCAAGAGUGGUAGAAGGUGAAAGAAAAUCCAAGUAUGUGUAUUGGUAGCCACAAGUUCAACAACAAUGCAAAGACAUGAUAAUUACAAGUCAAGUUCAGGUUCUAAUAGAUAGGGAAAAGAAUCACAUCAAGCAUGC